This 403-nucleotide ribosomal RNA is filed under the name uncultured bacterium. RNAcentral describes it as "bacterial SSU rRNA". It matches the Rfam family "Bacterial small subunit ribosomal RNA", at positions 355 to 776 of the family's 1533-position model. The record is from RNAcentral.
UGAGGAAUUUUCCGCAAUGGGCGAAAGCCUGACGGAGCGACGCCGUGUGUGCGAUGAAGUCCUUCGGGACGUAAAGCACUGUCAGUGGGGAAGAUAUUGACGGUACCCACAGAGGAAGGCCCGGCUAACUACGUGCCAGCAGCCGCGGUAAUACGUAGGGGCCAAGCGUUGUCCGGAAUCAUUGGGCGUAAAGAGCAUGUAGGUGGUUUGGAAAGUCAGAUGUUAAAUAUGCAGGCUCAACCUGCAUCCGCAUCUGAAACUUCCUGACUAGAGAAUGGUAGAGGAAAGCGGAAUUUACGGUGUAGCAGUGAAAUGCGUAGAUAUCGUAAGGAACACCAGUGGCGAAGGCGGCUUUCUGGGCUAUUUCUGACACUGAGAUGCGAAAGCUAGGGGAGCAAACGGG